This 72-nucleotide transfer RNA is filed under the name Actinomortierella ambigua. It matches the Rfam family "tRNA". Rfam says of the family: Transfer RNA (tRNA) molecules are approximately 80 nucleotides in length. Their secondary structure includes four short double-helical elements and three loops (D, anti-codon, and T loops). The record is from Rfam by way of RNAcentral. Lineage: Eukaryota; Fungi; Mortierellomycota; Mortierellomycetes; Mortierellales; Mortierellaceae.
UCUUUGGUAGUAUAGUGGUGAGUAUCUCCGCCUGUCACGCGGAAGACCGGGGUUCAAUUCCCCGCCAAAGAG